Molecule: long non-coding RNA, 1535 nt
Organism: Populus euphratica (Euphrates poplar)
Lineage: Eukaryota; Viridiplantae; Streptophyta; Magnoliopsida; Malpighiales; Salicaceae
Exons: 2
Source: RefSeq, a predicted model, not a curated record
AGGAGCCCGGUGCUAAACUAUCGAAUCCAGCCCAUUUGCUUCCUCUUGUGGCCGACUCCGUAGACAGAGACGGCCAAACCCACUUGGACAGAACAAAACCCUUGUUGGUCAGUGCUCUUCUCGUCGUCCUUCCAGGUGUCUCUCUCUCCAUUUUUCACUAGCGUUUGUCCAAUCUCAAACCCCAAUUGCUUGUUCAAGAAGCUUCUUUUUGGCUUCCAAAAUGGCCACUAUUAUACUCAUGAGAAACUAGCUUUCUGUGCUUGAAAAACGUUUCUUGGUAACAUCUUCUGUUGCUCUUUCUAGUCCUACCUCUACACUACCCACCAGUUUCUCUUCGCCGUCAUUUACAGUUCAAUUUCUCUACAAUUCAUGUGGGCUUCCCUUAAAAUCAUCUCUUUCGGUUUCUAAGAAGUUCCAAAUGGAUGAAAGGAAACUCCGAAUUUGUACUUGAGUUCUUGAAAGCUCACAACUUCAGCGACACCCAGAUCACCCAACUGAUCCAGAAUAAUCCCCAAAUCCUCCAAAGCAGAGUAGAAAGCAAUAUCAAGCCGAAGUUCGACUUCUUCGUUAAACAUGGGUUAGUGGGCCAACUUCUGCCUGAGCUUAUUGUGUCAAAACCAUUUUUUUUUUACAAAACCUAUACAUUCUUAAAUUAAGCCAUGUUUUGGGUUCUUGAAGUCAUUUCUUGGUUGUACUGGGAAAAUUGUCGUGGCUCUUAGCGUUCUCCAUGGCUGUUUACGUAUAAUGUGAAAGGUAUUAUGCAACCAAAUAUUGAUUUGUUGAUAAAAGAGGGAGUGACUUUUGACAGGAUAGCAAAACUGAUUAUCUCACAAAUAGGAGGCAUACAGCAAAAGCAUUCUAGGAUGGUCUAUACUGUGAAUGCUCUUAAAAACUUGAGCAUUGAACCAAAGACUCCCUUGUUUAUACAUGCUCUUAGAGUGAUGUUACAAACAAGCGACUUCACUUGGAAGACGAUAGUUGGAGUGUUGAACAGUUUGGGUUGGACUGUGGAGGAAAUUAUAAAGGCUUUUAAGCAUGAUCCCCUUAUUUUGGGAUGUUCAGAGGAGAAGAUCAGGGAUGUCAUGGAUUUUUUUGUGGUUACCUUGAGAUUGAAACCUCAAACUGUUAUUACGAACUCCUGGUUCCUUCAUUACUGAAUUGAUAAAAGGCUCCGUCCAAGGUACAAUGUUUUGAAGACUUGGAAGUCAAAGAAUCUGAUUGAUGGGGACAUCAGGAUUGCGUGGCUGUUAAGGCUGCUAACAUCAUUGAGUGAGAAGAAAUUCUUGGGAAACUUUGUUACUUAGUAUGUAGACAGUGUCCCAGGUUUAUUAGAGGCACAUAAGGGUAUCGGCAAGGCUGUAAAGACCGAUACGUGAUGGCAAAGAAAGUCAUGAAGAACUUAUAUCGGAGGAUAAAUUCUGCUGGAGUAUGUCUAUAGCUUGGAAGAAAAUGUAAUACUGAGGAGCAGUUUACGAUUCAGUUCUCUUUGGGAAGAAUUUGAAUGAUAUUUAUGCCUUUGAUUUUGAAACAGGGUA